This 72-nucleotide transfer RNA is filed under the name Stanieria sp. NIES-3757. Its description in RNAcentral is "tRNA-Thr". It matches the Rfam family "tRNA". From Rfam's summary of the family: Transfer RNA (tRNA) molecules are approximately 80 nucleotides in length. Their secondary structure includes four short double-helical elements and three loops (D, anti-codon, and T loops). Further hydrogen bonds mediate the characteristic L-shaped molecular structure. tRNAs have two regions of fundamental functional importance: the anti-codon, which is responsible for specific mRNA codon recognition, and the 3' end, to which the tRNAs corresponding amino acid is attached (by aminoacyl-tRNA synthetases). tRNAs cope with the degeneracy of the genetic code in two manners: having more than one tRNA (with a specific anti-codon) for a particular amino acid; and 'wobble' base-pairing, i.e. permitting non-standard base-pairing at the 3rd anti-codon position. Lineage: Bacteria; Bacillati; Cyanobacteriota; Cyanophyceae; Pleurocapsales; Dermocarpellaceae. The record is from RNAcentral.
GCCGAUGUAGCUCAGGGGUAGAGUAGCUGAUUCGUAAUCAGUGGGCCGUGGGUUCAAUUCCCAUCAUCGGCU